AAAAUGAGUAAGAAAAUCCAAGUAUUUUAGGGUAUCCAUGAGUUCAAAUUCGAUGCCAAGACAUGAUAAUUCUAAAUCAGAUUCAAGUUCAAAUUGAUAGGGAAUGGUAUCAGAUCCUAACAGUGUGGUUGAGUAGAGCAAUCUAGGCAUGGUGCAGUUUUACUUCAAUUUCAAUGACUACGCAUCAGACAACUAACAACGAGGGCACUGAGCUUAUCUGGUGAACCAAAAUGCUUACAAGGCUAUCUCAUCAUUAUCCCCUAUGCAUAUGCAACAAUCCUAAACGAAACACUCUAGAUUCGAUCCUAAAUGCAAUGCAACUACAUGAACACUCUAUUUUUGUGAAAUCAUUUUCUGAAAUUUUUC
Molecule: small RNA, 366 nt
Filed under: Arabidopsis thaliana (thale cress)
Lineage: Eukaryota; Viridiplantae; Streptophyta; Magnoliopsida; Brassicales; Brassicaceae
Description: ATSL036220
Source: RNAcentral